RNAcentral lists this long non-coding RNA (727 nucleotides) under Phascolarctos cinereus (koala). RNAcentral's name for it is "lncRNA (ENSPCIG00000023214.2)". The record is from RNAcentral. Lineage: Eukaryota; Metazoa; Chordata; Mammalia; Diprotodontia; Phascolarctidae.
AUGGUUGCCUACCUCCAGCCCACGUCCUCUGCCCCGCUUCCGGCCGCCGCGCCCUGCCUCCGAGAGCCCUUCUUCCUUCCCUUUCCUCUCGUUUCCAGUCCUCCUCGGGGCGUUCCCAUGGCUGCUGCCGUAGGCACUUGGGCUUUCUCGAUGCCGGCUGUGCGGAAGGUGGGCUCGCUGCUCAAGAACGGGGCUGGGGCUACGGACUCUCUGCAGGAGGCGACGGCAGAAAUCGAGAAUGGUGAGAAAACUGGUCAAUACAUAGUUGAACAAGGAGGCUACCCAAAUAAAGAUGGGCUCGUUCAAUGUGGUGCAGCUGUCAUGGAAGGUCUCCCCAGUCGAUUUGGAGCAAUGGCGGCCUUACAUGGUGUGAUUGACCUUUAAGGCUCUUGCCAGACCUAAAAUCCUAUUACCUCAAAUCCUGUGUUUCAACCAAAAGGAUAAUAGAACUGUAGCCCAGAAGUACUGCUGUAAAGGGGAACUUUUCAUUUUGUUCUACAGUCUUUAGUAGUUGGUUGGAAGCCUCAAUCAGGUGAGAGAUCUUGUCUUGCUCAGGUUUUUUUUCUCUUCCAUUGCCUACUACUCUGAACAUACUGGGCAUUUAAUGCUCUUUUUUUUUUUGCCACUAAAUAUUUGUCCUCUAUGAUUUCUUUGAGAGAAAGAACCUUAAAGGGAGGGUUUGUGACCAUCAAGAAAAGCUUAAUAAAUAUAUGCUCUUUUUUCUCCA